RNAcentral lists this long non-coding RNA (600 nucleotides) under Elaeis guineensis (African oil palm). Its description in RNAcentral is "long non-coding RNA (EGUI_LNC028826)". Lineage: Eukaryota; Viridiplantae; Streptophyta; Magnoliopsida; Arecales; Arecaceae. The record is from RNAcentral.
CUUCAUUGUCGAAACCCUGACCCCAACCCUAAUAGUAAUCCUAAUUCUCCAUGCAUCAAAAUCCAAUCCUAAUCCAAAUCCAAACCCUAGCGUCAAUCCUCACCCUCCCCACCACCAUCCUGAUCCUUGUAAUUUGAACCCUUAUCAUCUAUGGUUCUUCCCAAUUGAAAAUCCUAACCGAAACCCUAACACAGACUGUAACCCUAACCCUACUCCACCUUCAUCAUCCAAACCCUAACCAUAACCCAAACCCAACGCCUGAAGCCAAGCCCAACUCUAACCCCAAGCCUAAUGCCAACCUUAACCCUAAACCGAAUCCUUGGGCUAAUCCGCUGAUCCCUAGGGCUAACCCAACCACUAAUCCCUAGGGCUAACCCAAACCCUAUCAGCCGAACCUAAUCCUAACCCAGCCAUCUAUGCUAACCAUAAUGAAAAACAACUCAAAAUUCAAAAAUCCGUCAGCCUGUUACCCGAAAAUCCAACUACCCAAAAUUUGAAAUCCCAAAAACUGAGAUCCCAAUAAUCCAUUACUCGAUGGUUGAAUAUCCAACAACUCGAAUCUUUAUAUCUGGAUCUAUAGACCUGCAAUCCCAAAACCCA